GAUGAAGAACGUAGCGAAAUGCGAUAAGUAAUGUGAAUUGCAGAAUUCAGUGAAUCAUCGAAUCUUUGAACGCACCUUGCGCCCUUUGGCCAUUCCGAAGGGCAUGCCUGUUUGAGUAUCAUGAACACCUCAACUCUUUAUGGUUUUCCAUGAUGAGCUUGGACUCUGGGGGUUUUGCUGGCUCACAGUCGGCUCCUCUGAAAUGAAUCAGCUUACCAGUGUUUGGUGGGUAUCAUGGGUGUGAUAACUAUCUACGCUUGUGGUUUUUCCACCAGGUAACCUUCAGCAGUGGAGGUUCGCUGGAGCUCAUAGAUGUCUCUCCUCAGUGAGGACAGCCCUUUGAAUGUUUGAUCUCAAAUCAGGUAGGACUACCCGCUGAACUUAAGCAUAUCAAUAAGCGGAGGA
RNAcentral lists this unclassified non-coding RNA (405 nucleotides) under soil metagenome. Its description in RNAcentral is "partial contains 5.8S ribosomal RNA, internal transcribed spacer 2, and large subunit ribosomal RNA". The stretch from base 1 to 121 matches the Rfam family "5.8S ribosomal RNA", at positions 35 to 154 of the family's 154-position model. The record is from RNAcentral.